GACGAACCGAGCGAACGUUGUUCGGAAUCACUGGGCUUAAAGGGCGCGUAGGCGGGCCGUCAAGUCCGUGGUGAAAUCCUCCAGCUCAACUGGAGAAGUGCCUCGGAUACUGGCGGCCUCGAGGGGGGUAGGGGCGUGCGGAACUUCCGGUGGAGCGGUGAAAUGCGUAGAUAUCGGAAGGAACACCGGUGGCGAAAGCGGCGCGCUGGACCCCUUCUGACGCUGAGGCGCGAAAGCCAGGGGAGCAAACGGG
RNAcentral lists this ribosomal RNA (253 nucleotides) under uncultured bacterium. Its description in RNAcentral is "partial 16S ribosomal RNA". It matches the Rfam family "Bacterial small subunit ribosomal RNA", at positions 524 to 776 of the family's 1533-position model. The record is from RNAcentral.